Molecule: long non-coding RNA, 1133 nt
Filed under: Glycine max (soybean)
Lineage: Eukaryota; Viridiplantae; Streptophyta; Magnoliopsida; Fabales; Fabaceae
Description: long non-coding RNA (GMAX_LNC004066)
Source: RNAcentral
UUUCCCUCCCAAUAUUUUCUCCACCAUUUACUCACAUGUACAUGUAUAUUAAAUUGGGGGAUGAAGAUUGUGAAUUCCAACCUUGUUUAGUAGAAAAAGAAAGCAAGGAUUGCAUCUCCAACAAAUUGGCAGUCCACUUCGAUAUGCUUGGUGUGUUCAUUGGAAAAGAUAAGAUUCUUAACAAUGUGCAAUGCUGUUUGACCGUCACAAUAAAGUUGCAUGGCUUACGGGUGAGAAAUGUCAAGACAACUCAGUAUUUAUGAAGUACCGACACAGACAUAAACACAUGGACAUCUAUUAAACACAUCAAACUCAACUCCGACAUGAACACGAACAUGUAGACACCUGUCAAACACAUCAAACUCAAUCAGGACAUGGUGUUGUCUCGGACAUCGGACAUGACAAGGGAUUGGAGUAUUUUUCAACCAUUUUAGUUCACAAGUUGUACGUGGCAUUACAUGCAGUCCAUGUUUGAUUAUUUUCAACGCACAAAUUUCACUUUGCUUCAGUGUAGCUUACUGGCUCAUUUUCCUAUUCAAGAGCUGCAAGAAACGCACGAUGUGCCAAAGAAAAGUGAUCACAAUUCAAAUGAUGUGAAAGAGGAUAGACACCCAAAUGUUCUGAGAUGUUUGAGUGAAGGAGGCUGCACAUGAAGCUUUUAAUUAAUAAGGUGUUUUCCCAAUAUCCAAUAUCACAGAUGGAAAUUUACCUGUCACCUUCUUCUCAAUAUCUGGUUUUUUCAACAGUUAUCGAUCUACGAGUCUUUGCCAUUGAUGAUCAGCAUUUGGGUCAUGCACCUAUUCCUUUUCCUCCUCCUGUACUGCCCCCCGUGGUUGCCACUUGCCUUUUCCACCGAGCUUUCCUUCUCCUCUAGGUCUGUUCUGUUAGAAAAAUUAAAUAAAAAUGAAGGAAAAUAAAUAUGAAGAAGAUGCACAGUCUUGAAUUAAAUAAUAAAAUAACAGUAGCAAAUUAAAUUUAAUUGACAGCACAUGAAUAAUGCAUUAUAACAUACAAUAAGCACUAGAAAAAAAUAAAUUAGGAGAAAAAAGAUAUAGUCUGGGAUGAAGCGCGUAAACGCUAUCCUUAGAGAGAAAACGCCCCCACUGCACGGGUAAGAAAUUCUGAUUGCGCUC